RNAcentral lists this ribosomal RNA (253 nucleotides) under uncultured bacterium. RNAcentral's name for it is "partial 16S ribosomal RNA". It matches the Rfam family "Bacterial small subunit ribosomal RNA", at positions 524 to 776 of the family's 1533-position model. The record is from RNAcentral.
AACGUAGGUGGCAAGCGUUAUCCGGAAUUACUGGGCGUAAAGCGUGCGCAGGCGGUGAUGUAAGACAGGUGUGAAAUCCCCGGGCUUAACCUGGGAACUGCAUUUGUGACUGCAUCGCUGGAGUGCGGCAGAGGGGGAUGGAAUUCCGCGUGUAGCAGUGAAAUGCGUAGAUAUGCGGAGGAACACCGAUGGCGAAGGCAAUCCCCUGGGCCUGCACUGCCGCUCAUGCACGAAAGCGUGGGGAGCAAACAGG